GACGAACGCUGGCGGCGUGCUUAACACAUGCAAGUCGAGCGACUGCAUUCUUUUCGGAGGGUGUAUGGAGCGGCGAACGGGUGAGUAACACGUGAGUAAUCUGCCUUUGGCUUGGGAAUAACUUCGGGAAAUCGGGGCUAAUGCCUGAUGUUUACUGUCUGCUGCAUGGUGGGUGGUGGAAAGAUUUUUUGCCGAGGAGUGAGCUCGCGGUCUAUCAGCUUG
This 222-nucleotide ribosomal RNA is filed under the name uncultured bacterium. RNAcentral describes it as "partial 16S ribosomal RNA". It matches the Rfam family "Bacterial small subunit ribosomal RNA", at positions 28 to 248 of the family's 1533-position model. The record is from RNAcentral.